GGUCAAGUGAAUAAGUGCAUCAGGCGGAUGCCUUGGCGAUGAUAGGCGACGAAGGACGUGUAAGCCUGCGAAAAGCGCGGGGGAGCUGGCAAUAAAGCUAUGAUUCCGCGAUGUCCGAAUGGGGAAACCCACUGCAUUCUGUGCAGUAUCCUAAGUUGAAUACAUAGGCUUAGAGAAGCGAACCCGGAGAACUGAACCAUCUAAGUACCCGGAGGAAAAGAAAUCAACCGAGAUUCCGCAAGUAGUGGCGAGCGAACGCGGAGGAGCCUGUACGUAAUAACUGUCGAGAUAGAAGAACAAGCUGGGAAGCUUGACCAUAGCGGGCGACAGUCCCGUAUUCGAAAUCUCAACAGCGGUACUAAGCGUACGAAAAGUAGGGCGGGACACGUGAAAUCCUGUCUGAAUAUGGGGGGACCAUCCUCCAAGGCUAAAUACUCAUCAUCGACCGAUAGUGAACCAGUACCGUGAGGGAAAGGCGAAAAGAACCCCGGGAGGGGAGUGAAACAGAACCUGAAACCUGAUGCAUACAAACAGUGGGAGCGCCCUAGUGGUGUGACUGCGUACCUUUUGUAUAAUGGGUCAACGACUUACAUUCAGUAGCGAGCUUAACCGGAUAGGGGAGGCGUAGGGAAACCGAGUCUUAAUAGGGCGAUGAGUUGCUGGGUGUAGACCCGAAACCGAGUGAUCUAUCCAUGGCCAGGUUGAAGGUGCCGUAACAGGUACUGGAGGACCGAACCCACGCAUGUUGCAAAAUGCGGGGAUGAGCUGUGGGUAGGGGUGAAAGGCUAAACAAACUCGGAGAUAGCUGGUUCUCCCCGAAAACUAUUUAGGUAGUGCCUCGAGCAAGACACUGAUGGGGGUAAAGCACUGUUAUGGCUAGGGGGUUAUUGCAACUUACCAACCCAUGGCAAACUCAGAAUACCAUCAAGUGGUUCCUCGGGAGACAGACAGCGGGUGCUAACGUCCGUUGUCAAGAGGGAAACAACCCAGACCGCCGGCUAAGGUCCCAAAUGAUAGAUUAAGUGGUAAACGAAGUGGGAAGGCACAGACAGCCAGGAUGUUGGCUUAGAAGCAGCCAUCAUUUAAAGAAAGCGUAAUAGCUCACUGGUCGAGUCGUCCUGCGCGGAAGAUGUAACGGGGCUCAAAUCUAUAACCGAAGCUGCGGAUGCCGGUUUACCGGCAUGGUAGGGGAGCGUUCUGUAGGCUGAUGAAGGUGCAUUGUAAAGUGUGCUGGAGGUAUCAGAAGUGCGAAUGUUGACAUGAGUAGCGAUAAAGCGGGUGAAAAGCCCGCUCGCCGAAAGCCCAAGGUUUCCUACGCAACGUUCAUCGGCGUAGGGUAAGUCGGCCCCUAAGGCGAGGCAGAAAUGCGUAGUCGAUGGGAAACAGGUUAAUAUUCCUGUACUUGAUUCAAAUGCGAUGUGGGGACGGAGAAGGUUAGGUUGGCAAGCUGUUGGAAUAGCUUGUUUAAGCCGGUAGGUGGAAGACUUAGGCAAAUCCGGGUUUUCUUAACACCGAGAAGUGAUGACGAGUGUCUACGGACACGAAGCAACCGAUACCACGCUUCCAGGAAAAGCCACUAAGCUUCAGUUUGAAUCGAACCGUACCGCAAACCGACACAGGUGGGCAGGAUGAGAAUUCUAAGGCGCUUGAGAGAACUCGGGAGAAGGAACUCGGCAAAUUGAUACCGUAACUUCGGGAGAAGGUAUGCCCUCUAAGGUUAAGGACUUGCUCCGUAAGCCCCGGAGGGUCGCAGAGAAUAGGUGGCUGCGACUGUUUAUUAAAAACACAGCACUCUGCCAACACGAAAGUGGACGUAUAGGGUGUGACGCCUGCCCGGUGCCGGAAGGUUAAUUGAAGAUGUGCAAGCAUCGGAUCGAAGCCCCGGUAAACGGCGGCCGUAACUAUAACGGUCCUAAGGUAGCGAAAUUCCUUGUCGGGUAAGUUCCGACCCGCACGAAUGGCGUAACGAUGGCCACACUGUCUCCUCCCGAGACUCAGCGAAGUUGAAGUGGUUGUGAAGAUGCAAUCUACCCGCUGCUAGACGGAAAGACCCCGUGAACCUUUACUGUAGCUUUGCAUUGGACUUUGAAGUCACUUGUGUAGGAUAGGUGGGAGGCUUGGAAGCAGAGACGCCAGUCUCUGUGGAGUCGUCCUUGAAAUACCACCCUGGUGUCUUUGAGGUUCUAACCCAGACCCGUCAUCCGGGUCGGGGACCGUGCAUGGUAGGCAGUUUGACUGGGGCGGUCUCCUCCCAAAGCGUAACGGAGGAGUUCGAAGGUUACCUAGGUCCGGUCGGAAAUCGGACUGAUAGUGCAAUGGCAAAAGGUAGCUUAACUGCGAGACCGACAAGUCGGGCAGGUGCGAAAGCAGGACAUAGUGAUCCGGUGGUUCUGUAUGGAAGGGCCAUCGCUCAACGGAUAAAAGGUACUCCGGGGAUAACAGGCUGAUUCCGCCCAAGAGUUCAUAUCGACGGCGGAGUUUGGCACCUCGAUGUCGGCUCAUCACAUCCUGGGGCUGUAGUCGGUCCCAAGGGUAUGGCUGUUCGCCAUUUAAAGUGGUACGUGAGCUGGGUUUAAAACGUCGUGAGACAGUUUGGUCCCUAUCUGCAGUGGGCGUUGGAAGUUUGACGGGGGCUGCUCCUAGUACGAGAGGACCGGAGUGGACGAACCUCUGGUGUACCGGUUGUAACGCCAGUUGCAUAGCCGGGUAGCUAAGUUCGGAAGAGAUAAGCGCUGAAAGCAUCUAAGCGCGAAACUCGCCUGAAGAUGAGACUUCCCUUGCGGUUUAACCGCACUAAAGGGUCGUUCGAGACCAGGACGUUGAUAGGUGGGGUGUGGAAGCGCGGUAACGCGUGAAGCUAACCCAUACUAAUUGCCCGUGAGGCUUGACUCU
This 2892-nucleotide ribosomal RNA is filed under the name Neisseria gonorrhoeae. RNAcentral's name for it is "23S ribosomal RNA". It matches the Rfam family "Bacterial large subunit ribosomal RNA". The record is from RNAcentral. Lineage: Bacteria; Pseudomonadati; Pseudomonadota; Betaproteobacteria; Neisseriales; Neisseriaceae.